Salmo salar (Atlantic salmon) is the source of this 319-nucleotide non-coding RNA. The record is from RefSeq and is a predicted model, not a curated record. NCBI's taxonomy places the organism in Eukaryota, Metazoa, Chordata, Actinopteri, Salmoniformes, Salmonidae.
CUUUGUUGCAUUCAGCUAACAAUACACACAUACAAAGGUAUUUGUGAGUAGAAAUCAAACUGGAUGGUCUUCGAAGGAUAGAUAGGAGGGGUUGAGGAUAUGGGAUUAAAAGCAAACAAAAGGUGCACCUGCCGCUCAUGGCGGUUCUUUGAGAAAGAGGAGAGAACCAUUCGGGAGAAGCUCCAGGCCCAGCUCCAUCCUCCCAGCAGCCACCACCAGUUAGCUACCAAGCCAACAGAAGCAGCAAUGAAUCAGCACAGAUGAGAAGUAGACAAAUAGAAACAGAUGGAAAGAAGCAGACGGAAUGAAGCAGAAGGAA